RNAcentral lists this ribosomal RNA (406 nucleotides) under uncultured bacterium. RNAcentral's name for it is "bacterial SSU rRNA". It matches the Rfam family "Bacterial small subunit ribosomal RNA", at positions 541 to 949 of the family's 1533-position model. The record is from RNAcentral.
UUAUCCGGAUUUAUUGGGUUUAAAGGGUGCGUAGGCGGUUUGAUAAGUUAGAGGUGAAAUUUCGGGGCUCAACCCUGAACGUGCCUCUAAUACUGUUGAGCUAGAGAGUAGUUGCGGUAGGCGGAAUGUAUGGUGUAGCGGUGAAAUGCUUAGAGAUCAUACAGAACACCGAUUGCGAAGGCAGCUUACCAAACUAUAUCUGACGUUGAGGCACGAAAGCGUGGGGAGCAAACAGGAUUAGAUACCCUGGUAGUCCACGCAGUAAACGAUGAUAACUCGUUGUCGGCGAUACACAGUCGGUGACUAAGCGAAAGCGAUAAGUUAUCCACCUGGGGAGUACGUUCGCAAGAAUGAAACUCAAAGGAAUUGACGGGGGCCCGCACAAGCGGAGGAACAUGUGGUUUAA